UACGUAUGGUGCAAGCGUUAUCCGGAUUUACUGGGUGUAAAGGGAGCGUACGGCUUAGCAAGUCUGAUGUGAAAGCUAUGGGCUCAACCCAUAAACUGCAUUGGAAACUGUUCAGCUGGAGUGUCGGAGAGGUAAGCGGAAUUCCUAGUGUAGCGGUGAAAUGCGUUGAUAUCCCGCAGAACACCGGAGGCGAAGGCGGAUCCCUUGCACGGAACUGACGCUGAGGCGCGAAAGUCGGGGGAGCAAACAG
Molecule: ribosomal RNA, 250 nt
Filed under: uncultured prokaryote
Description: partial 16S ribosomal RNA
Rfam family: Bacterial small subunit ribosomal RNA
Source: RNAcentral